UGUUUGAGUGGGUUUUUGGUAAUAUACAAGUAUUUAUAACAUUAAUUAAAGGAAGGGGGGAGAACAUGUUUAAGUGUUUUGCAAUUUUCACUUGUUGGAAGUAAGAAGUUUCUGGACUGUUUUGUUUUGUAUGGAUUUUAAUUUUAGUUUAUUGUUUUAAUUUGAUUGAUGGAUUGAUUGUUGGUUGCUUAACGUCAAGUGGCAAAUAUUUCAUGCAUAUUCAUUUUAUUAAUUUGAAGUUUGAUAUUUCAUCUGUUAGUGCUGAACUAGUAUACAUAUUUGUUUAGUUACUUAGUAUAUGGGAAGCUUAUUGUUACAUUAAAGAGUUAUUGGUAACAUUUAU
Molecule: long non-coding RNA, 343 nt
Filed under: Mytilus galloprovincialis (Mediterranean mussel)
Lineage: Eukaryota; Metazoa; Mollusca; Bivalvia; Mytilida; Mytilidae
Source: RNAcentral